Rattus norvegicus (Norway rat) is the source of this 451-nucleotide non-coding RNA. The record is from the annotation of a RefSeq genome assembly. Lineage: Eukaryota; Metazoa; Chordata; Mammalia; Rodentia; Muridae.
GAUUUGCAUGCACUUUGGGGACUUCUUCAUAUACCAGUUACACCCUGUGCAGUUGCCAUUGCAGUCAAGUCUUAACAUGGACAUACGGGCCCCUGUUCAGUUCCUUGGGAUCCUGCUACUCUGGCUUCUUGGUGCCCGAUGUGACAUCAAGAUGACCCAGUCUCCCUCCUCCCUGUCUGCAUCUCUGGGAGAAAGAGUCACCAUCAGUUGCAGGGCAAGUGAGAAUAUUAACAAUAUUUUGGCCUGGUAUCAGAAGAAAGAAGAUGGAAGUGUUAAACUCCUGAUUUACUACACAUCAAAUCUACAAUCUGGGGUCCCAUCAAGGUUCAGUGGCAGUGGGUCUGGGAAAGAUUACUCUCUUACCAUUAGUGGCCUAGAAUCUGAAGAUAUUGCGACUUACUAUUGUCAGCAAGGUUAUACCCCACCCACAAUGUUACAAGUCAUAACAUAA